GACGAACGCUGGCGGCGUGCUUAACACAUGCAAGUCGAACGGAAAGGCCUCUUUCGGGGGGUACUCGAGUGCGAACGGGUGAGUAACACGUGAGUAACCUGCCCUUGACUUUGGGAUAACUUCAGGAAACUGGGGCUAAUACCGGAUAGGAGCUCCUGCUGCAUGGUGGGGGUUGGAAAGUUUCGGCGGUUGGGGAUGGACUCGCGGCUUAUCAGCUUGUUGGUGGGGUAGUGGCUUACCAAGGCUUUGACGGGUAGCCGGCCUGAGAGGGUGACCGGCCACAUUGGGACUGAGAUACGGCCCAGACUCCUACGGGAGGCAGCAGUGGGGAAUAUUGCACAAUGGGUGGAAGCCUGAUGCAGCAACGCCGUGUGCGGGAUGACGGCCUUCGGGUUGUAAACCGCUUUCGCUCAUGACGAAGCUUUGUGUGACGGUAGUGGGUAAAGAAGCACCGGCUAACUACGUG
This 466-nucleotide ribosomal RNA is filed under the name uncultured bacterium. Its description in RNAcentral is "partial 16S ribosomal RNA". It matches the Rfam family "Bacterial small subunit ribosomal RNA", at positions 28 to 507 of the family's 1533-position model. The record is from RNAcentral.